Molecule: ribosomal RNA, 440 nt
Filed under: uncultured bacterium
Lineage: Bacteria
Description: partial 16S ribosomal RNA
Rfam family: Bacterial small subunit ribosomal RNA
Source: RNAcentral
CCUACGGGAGGCAGCAGUGGGGGAUAUUGCACAAUGGGGGGAACCCUGAUGCAGCGACGCCGCGUGGGUGAAGAAGCGCCUCGGCGCGUAAAGCCCUGUCAGCAGGGAAGAAAAUGACGGUACCUGAAGAAGAAGCCCCGGCUAACUACGUGCCAGCAGCCGCGGUAAUACGUAGGGGGCAAGCGUUAUCCGGAUUUACUGGGUGUAAAGGGGGCGCAGACGGCGAUGCAAGCCAGGAGUGAAAGCCCGGGGCCCAACCCCGGGACUGCUCUUGGAACUGGGUGGCUGGAGUGCAGGAGGGGCAGGCGGAAUUCCUGGGGGAGCGGUGGAAGGCGUAGAUAUCAGGAGGAACACCGGUGGCGAAGGCGGCCUGCUGGACUGCAACUGACGUUGAGGCCCGAAAGCGUGGGGAGCAAACAGGAUUAGAUACCCUUGUAGUC